AAAAGUUCUGCCCCAUCAGCAUCUUCUCUCCUACCACUGAUGCAUUGUGGGUGUGCUUUGUUCUCUUCUAGGACCAUCACCACCGCAGUCGUGCUCUUCCAUUUGCUAGGAUUUUUUUCUUCACCACUGCUACACAAUCCAAGUCGCCUUCGCUUCCUAUGAGGCCCAGAGCCGAUCGAUCGGAGGUGCAGAGGGAGAAGGAGACCGAAGUAGCCGACUGCCCCUGAAGAGGUGGUGUAAAAGAAGAUGGGGGCAUCUGCUUCCGACCCAGCCGUUCCAUAGGAUACAGAGGUGGCAAUGGUUACCGAAUGGCCAUCCCUUAGGACGCAAGGGUGGCAACAGUUGCUGACCCAUCUAUUCCCCAAGGCAUGGAGGUGGUGAGCGAGGAUGUUAUCGCUCAUCUCACGUCUAACAUGAUUCCAUCGACCACUCUGGUCAACUCGUUCGGAUGGUGCCUGACCUAUGGAAGGUCGAGUAAUAGGGGAAACUCCCCAUGCUUGGAAUUUCCACUGCAUAACACUUCAAAGAAAGGAAAGGAUUUGCCCCAAUAUGUGGACUCUGGGGCAGGAAGGACUUUGUUGCUCGACGAGUCUUCUCAUUGAGCGGGGAUCUUCAAACGACCUAGGUGAUAUGGUCACAUCCCUUUCAGGUGAGUGCUCAUGAAGGAGGAGACAAAACAACUAGAGGCUACCGAGGUCAAGGGUGAUUGCUUAACCAUUGAUGAUGAGGAAUAGUUGAGGAUUGUCUCGCUCGACAAUUGCUAGGUCUUUGGUGAGAACUUCAUGAUUGAAUUUUGGACCCUCACCUGCUGCUACACUCAGGACGCUUGCUCAUAGAGGAGAUGACGAUGCAGAAGCUCAACCGAAGAGGGAAAGCGACUCUCGCUUGGGGAAAUCGUUGGAGAGCAAGAGGAGAAGAAAGAAGAAGGGCGCUGCUUUGGGGCUAUUCAUGGAGCCUAAUGCUGCUGCUGCUACCACCAUUUCAGUUGCUGCUAGCUGCUCCUGCUCUUGAUGCUACUGCUACUGCUGGCUAUUGCAUGUUGCUGGCUCUACUACUUUGCAUGCUGCCCUGCUGCUGUGUAAGGUGUCUGCUAUUGUCUCCUACCUUACAUACACUUAUGUAGGAGAAAAGAGAGGGCUAAUCAGCUACUGUUGUUGCCUCAGAUGGUGCUGAUGUUGUCCAAGAGGUUAUAUGCUUUACUACUGUUGCUAAGGGUGUCAUACAAAUGGUACAAGCUGCUAUGGUUGCUGUCCAAACAUUGAGCAAUGUUUGAGAUUUAAAAGUAACUGCAAGCAUAUAGAUCAUCAUAGCUAGGGGUCUAACACAAGGAGGCAACCACUUUAUUUUUGGCUUCUUCUAGUAAUGCGAAAGUGUACGGAUUGAUGAUUGUGAUUUA
This is a long non-coding RNA of Macadamia integrifolia, 1396 nucleotides long. RefSeq lists it as uncharacterized. The record is from RefSeq and is a predicted model, not a curated record. The transcript has 3 exons. Lineage: Eukaryota; Viridiplantae; Streptophyta; Magnoliopsida; Proteales; Proteaceae.